CUCAGAUUGAACGCUGGCGGCAGGCCUAACACAUGCAAGUCGAGCGGUAGCACAGAGAGCUUGCUCUCGGGUGACGAGCGGCGGACGGGUGAGUAAUGUCUGGGAAACUGCCUGAUGGAGGGGGAUAACUACUGGAAACGGUAGCUAAUACCGCAUAAUGUCGCAAGACCAAAGUGGGGGACCUUCGGGCCUCAUGCCAUCAGAUGUGCCCAGAUGGGAUUAGCUAGUAGGUGGGGUAACGGCUCACCUAGGCGACGAUCCCUAGCUGGUCUGAGAGGAUGACCAGCCACACUGGAACUGAGACACGGUCCAGACUCCUACGGGAGGCAGCAGUGGGGAAUAUUGCACAAUGGGCGCAAGCCUGAUGCAGCCAUGCCGCGUGUGUGAAGAAGGCCUUCGGGUUGUAAAGCACUUUCAGCGGGGAGGAAGGCGAUAAGGUUAAUAACCUUGUCGAUUGACGUUACCCGCAGAAGAAGCACCGGCUAACUCCGUGCCAGCAGCCGCGGUAAUACGGAGGGUGCAAGCGUUAAUCGGAAUUACUGGGCGUAAAGCGCACGCAGGCGGUCUGUCAAGUCGGAUGUGAAAUCCCCGGGCUCAACCUGGGAACUGCAUUCGAAACUGGCAGGCUAGAGUCUUGUAGAGGGGGGUAGAAUUCCAGGUGUAGCGGUGAAAUGCGUAGAGAUCUGGAGGAAUACCGGUGGCGAAGGCGGCCCCCUGCACAAAGACUGACGCU
Molecule: ribosomal RNA, 733 nt
Filed under: Klebsiella sp.
Lineage: Bacteria; Pseudomonadati; Pseudomonadota; Gammaproteobacteria; Enterobacterales; Enterobacteriaceae
Description: bacterial SSU rRNA
Rfam family: Bacterial small subunit ribosomal RNA
Source: RNAcentral